GCAUAUCCAUAAGCGGAGGAAAAGAAACCAACAGGGAUUGCCCUAGUAACGGCGAAGUGAAGCGGCAACAGCUCAAAUUUGAAAUCUGGCGUCUUCGGCGUCCGAGUUGUAAUUUGCAGAGGGCGCUUUGGCAUUGGCAGCGGUCCAAGUUCCUUGGAACAGGACGUCACAGAGGGUGAGAAUCCCGUACGUGGUCGCUAGCCUUUACCGUGUAAAGCCCCUUCGACGAGUCGAGUUGUUUGGGAAUGCAGCUCUAAAUGGGAGGUAAAUUUCUUCUAAAGCUAAAUACUGGCCAGAGACCGAUAGCGCACAAGUAGAGUGAUCGAAAGAUGAAAAGCACUUUGGAAAGAGAGUUAAAAAGCACGUGAAAUUGUUGAAAGGGAAGCGCUUGCAGCCAGACUUGCCUGUAGUUGCUCAUCCGGGUUUCUACCCGGUGCACUCUUCUAUAGGCAGGCCAGCAUCAGUUUGGGCGGUUGGAUAAAGGUCUCUGUCAUGUACCUCUCUUCGGGGAGAACUUAUAGGGGAGACGACAUGCAACCAGCCUGGACUGAGGUCCGCGCAUCUGCUAGGAUGCUGGCGUAAUGGCUGUAAGCGGCCCGUCUUGAAACACGGACCAAGGAGUCUAACAUCUAUGCGAGUGUUUGGGUGUCAAGCCCGAGCGCGUAAUGAAAGUGAACGGAGGUGGGAACCUUUCGGGGUGCACCAUCGACCGAUCCUGAUGUCUUCGGAUGGAUUUGAGUAAGAGCAUAGCUGUUGGGACCCGAAAGAUGGUGAACUAUGCUUGAAUAGGGUGAAGCCAGAGGAAACUCUGGUGGAGGCUCGCAGCGGUUCUGACGUGCAAAUCGAUCGUCAAAUUUGGGCAUAGGGGCGAAAGACUAAUCGAACUAUCUAGUAGCUGGUUCUGCCG
This 907-nucleotide ribosomal RNA is filed under the name Didymella eucalyptica. RNAcentral describes it as "LSU rRNA". It matches the Rfam family "Eukaryotic large subunit ribosomal RNA", at positions 38 to 962 of the family's 3401-position model. The record is from RNAcentral. Lineage: Eukaryota; Fungi; Ascomycota; Dothideomycetes; Pleosporales; Didymellaceae.